This is a long non-coding RNA of Artibeus jamaicensis (Jamaican fruit-eating bat), 1886 nucleotides long. RefSeq lists it as uncharacterized. The transcript has 4 exons. NCBI's taxonomy places the organism in Eukaryota, Metazoa, Chordata, Mammalia, Chiroptera, Phyllostomidae. The record is from RefSeq and is a predicted model, not a curated record.
CAUUUCUCCGACCCCUGGUCCGGCCCGGGGCAGGGCGGGCUGCCGAGCUAGCCCGGGGAGCCCCACUCCGAAAGGCAGGACUGACGGACUGGCCUCACACGCGGUCGUGGAGUGCCUCUCCGCCUCGGGCGCCCUGCGCUGCCCGCGGAGCAGAAAAGACCGAUCCGAUCACGUCAACGUGGAUUGGCAGCGAGGCUCACGUUGUAGUUGGGAGAGACGGACCACAAACCGGCAGACGAGUCUGUCACAGGCGGACGCAGCGCGUCGUGAUGGUUCCGUGGCAUCAGUGGGCAGAACAAGACAUCUCCAUGAUUUCCCGUUCACACUGUCCGGUGUCCUGCGGUGCCCCAGCACGCCUAACAACAUGCCCAGCAUGGUGCCAAGUGCUUUGCAAAUGGUUCCUGAUUUUAACUUCACAAUUCCAUGGAGGCAAAACAAUAUGGAGAUGAGACUGGAUGUCAACCAGCCGAGUGGCGCCGAGUGUCAAAGUCACACACACUGCACACCCCUGGCUAGGGAGAAGCAAGAACAUGGAAAAUCUAAGGACUCUCAGUAAAUAUUACGUCCAUAACACUGCAGACACAGCCCUCGACUGAGCCAUCUCUGAAAAAAUAAUUCUUCUUCCCCAGCCAGAGGAGCCUUGGCGCGUGAGGGGCGCCCCGAGUUGCCUUCCUGGCUGCAGCGUUUUCUCCUCUGACCGAGACUUCGCCCAGAGCACACACGCCAGGCCCCGCCCAGCCGGGCCGCUUCGUCAGAACGCACUCACCCCUCGGCAAGGCGAGUGCCCCUUGUCCUCCUGGGUGGGCUCUUCUACUUUUUCCUGUCUCCCUCCCAACGAGUCAUGGUCAAGUGCAACCCAGGCAGGUGCACCGGCGUCACUGGGAGAGGCAGCCCAGCAGGGGAACAGCAUGGGUUGCAAGAGCAAGCCACCCGACCUCCAGGCCUCCGUUUCCCCAUCAGCACAGCGAGGGCGAUAAAGAGGAUCCGCCUCUCGAGGCUGUGGAUGUGGAGACGUGUCAGAGAUGGUUACGCUGGGCCCGGGCUUCUUCCAGCCAGGCCAACUAGACUUUAAUCUAAGCCCUGCAGACCAGUGACCUUCGGCAUUUCCAAGGCAAGGUCUGGGUGGGCCUUCCUUCUCCAUCCAAUUUUUUUUCCAGUUGGUUCUAGUCACACACUGGCUGGGACCCUGUGUCCUUAUGGAUAGUCCCCGGCUGUGGCUUGUGUUGGCCAUUCCCUCCGCUCUGCUUUGGCCUACCUUGGUGGGGGGAGCAAAGGAGGCCACCGAUGCUUGCCCUGAAGCCUUGAAGACCCUUAAGGGGGGGGAGCUGUAGAAGAAGCCCAAGGACCAAUGUUGAGGAGACAGGGCCACCGCUGUGGCUGCCGAAGUUUCUGACGCCCACAGAGUCUGUCGAAGCCGUCCUCCAGACCGUAGGAGAGCGCCUCUCUUCAUUUGCUUUGGCUGUUGCACUGCGCUCUCUUCUACUGAGGUGGAGUUCAGGGCGGGCAGGAAGAUGACCGGUAAUGGACCUCAGGACUUCUUAGCCUGCUGUCCUCCUGUCCCAGCCCCAGCCAUUCGCUCACUCACCCAACUGUCGCGUCUGCAGUAGCUGGCACUGCGCCCUACACCAAGGGCACAGAGGUGAUGAGGGCGGUCCUCGGCCUUGCGGAGCUCACCGGUCGGUGGAGGACGGCUGUAACCCAGUGCCAUCCAAGCUUUGAUAGGGAGCCCAGGGUGUUAUGUCUUUGGGUACCAGUGACCCCCCAAGUCAGGGAAGUCUUCCCAGAGGCUCACUGCCCUGGCCCCAAACUUGAGUAGCAGCUCACUCACCUCUAAGAAGCACUUGCCCCAGAGAACUAAUGGACCCCUCGCAGGGUGAGCCUCCGCC